This 1048-nucleotide long non-coding RNA is filed under the name Mus caroli (Ryukyu mouse). Its description in RNAcentral is "lncRNA (MGP_CAROLIEiJ_G0013616.1)". Lineage: Eukaryota; Metazoa; Chordata; Mammalia; Rodentia; Muridae. The record is from RNAcentral.
AAGACCACAGUUUCCUGUCGCGUGGAUGUGUUUCCUCUCUGGCCGUUGCCAUCCGCUCAAAUCUACAGGCAUCCCGCAUGUUCCCGGGCUCGUCUCCCCAAUACAGGGCACCAAGGCUGUAGACUGCGCAGACCUCCUGGAGACAGAUGGAAGUUCCUUGGGUCGACAGAUUACAGCUUCUGGAGCCCCCGACUCCCUUCAACUCCGUGAUGGACACCCACUGUCCAGGGAGAGGAUGCCUGGAAAUAACAGCCGGGAUCUACAGUGGCCAUAAGAGUUGUCUCUGUCUUGCUACAUAGACAAACUGGUGUUCCUGACCACUUGGGAAGGGUUUUUCUCUCCACUCUGUGACAACAGGCAAGAGUGAGGGUCCAACAAUACAGAGGAAGUGACGUGUCGCUGCUACUCUUCCAUGCCCAGUGCCAGGAGCGACGGUACACUCCAGAGUGCUGUGCCCUGAUGGGCCUUUGAGCGGCCAGUGCAGUGGAUCAUCAGCCCUGUCUCCCAAGAGCUCCAGUCCCUUCUCCGGGGAGGAAGUGGGUCCACUGGCAGCUCAGGAGGCCAUAGCAGCCUUACAGAAGUGUGGGUGGCAGCUUUCUGGAAGCUGCACAAGUCAGGGCUGGGUCUUCGCAACUUGGUGUUCUGUUUCUAGAAACUUGGGGUAUUUGCAUAUGCUAGGUCAGCACAGAUUUCCAAAGGAUCCCUAGGAUUGUCACGUGUGCUCAACAGUCCUCGGCUUUCCAGAAGAUGCUGGAACAGGGCCCUUGAAGAUGUUUGUGGACACCAGAGGGCCAAAGAAGACAAAGUGAAACUGGAGACACCGCCCCCCUUGGCAUCAUGAAACUGCCGAUUUUACUGGCUCAUGCAUGGGAGACACCAGCAUACAAAGUCUUGACACCAACACCUCAGAGGGCUGUGUUCUGUCCCCGUGACCAUCAGCCAGUGCCUGGAAAGACUAGUGACAAGAACUUGUUGCCAACUUCCUCUUACCUCCCUAACAGUUGUGCAUGCAAUAAACCCCAUAGGUUAAUUCAGUCUGCCUUUUAAA